RNAcentral lists this long non-coding RNA (1333 nucleotides) under Bos grunniens (domestic yak). Its description in RNAcentral is "lncRNA (ENSBGRG00000006458.1)". Lineage: Eukaryota; Metazoa; Chordata; Mammalia; Artiodactyla; Bovidae. The record is from RNAcentral.
AGAAAACCCUUGACUACAAUCUCUGACAUUAAACCUCUCUGCAGUCUUUAUCUUGGACAUUUGAGACUCAAGCUGCCACAUUAUGUGAACUAUGGUCAGUAACAUACCAAAUAGUUUUACUCACCAGGGAACAGGCUGAGAUUGAGUAAGUAGCAUGCUAUAGUUCUGAAAUUAACAGUUAUCUUGACAAGAGUUGUUUGUCUUUUUGUCUUUUAAUUGAUGAACACUUAUUGGAUCUCUAGAGAACUGUAAGUGACUUAGGCUAGUUGGUUCAAAAUAGUAGAUUGAGCCACUGAAUUUUAACCCUUUAGUUUUUUUCUCUCCCUGACUCCUAAAAAUUGAACAGAGUGUCUAGUUAUUUUUCUUUUAUUAUAUAGUGUUUCAUGUGUAACACCAUAUUGAUUUUGUUCUUAUGGGAACCAAUGACCUAACGUUUACUUAAAUGUAUUUGUUAAAUACACAUAAAAGAAUGAUUUAAUAUCUUAAUUCACAACAGGCUGGGAUAGGUAGGAAGAGUUUCUCCUGGUAUAUUGAUUUGCAUUUGUAAAUCUCAACCCUGUAACUACGUUUUGAAAUGACAUUUACCAAUUCUGGCACUUUUGUAACAGCAAUGACAAAUAUUUUAUUUGGAAGAGAAAAUGCCAUUUUUGAAAUGUUAUUUUUAUUAGUACUUUUACAUGUGUCAAGAUGUGCUAGUUAUUUGUUGACCUGGUGGCUGUGAACUCAUAAUUUCAUCUUCUUUUCUAGAAGAAAGAAGACCCCCGCCAGCCAAGGGUAACUCUCUGGUGAAGGGGUCAGCAGUGAGCUGUUAGCAGCCAACACUUACAGUGGCUGAUGGAUGGACGCACCCGCCUGGUGAAGGGAAUCUUUGUGGAGCAUCAGAGUCUGCUGCAGUUGGAAAGGGAUACAAUAAAUAUUUCUAAAGUGAUGAAAUGUUAUAUAAGUUGUCUAAGAAAAUUUGAACAGCAGGCUGCGAUGGCCGUAAAGGUGCAGGAACGGCCGAGAGGAGCUAUCCCCCGCCUGAGGCCAGGGGCAGAGGCCUGGAGGAGCAACCCCAUGUGCAAGGAGCGGUGGCUGCGCAGGUGCAGGAGGGCCUAGAGGAGCUAUUCCGCGUUCAAGGUCAGGAGGGGCGGUGGUGAGGAGAUACCCCUCAUCCAAGGUAAGGAGCAGCGGCUGCACUUUGCUGGAGCAGCUGUGAAGAGAUACCCACUUCUAAGGUAAGAGAAACCCAAGUAAGACGGUAGGUGUAGCAAGAGGGCAUCAGAGGGCAGACACACUGAAACCAUAAUCACAGAAAACUAGUCAAUCUAAUCACAGGGACCACAGGCUUGUA